UACGGAGGAUGCGAGCGUUAUCCGGAUUUAUUGGGUUUAAAGGGUGCGUAGGCUGUGAGGUAAGUCAGCGGUGAAAUGCCCCCGCUCAACGGGGUGAAGUGCCAUUGAUACUGCCUUGCUGGAAUGCGGAUGCCGUGGGAGGAAUGUGUGGUGUAGCGGUGAAAUGCAUAGAUAUCACACAGAACACCGAUUGCGAAGGCAUCUCACGAAUCCGCUAUUGACGCUGAUGCACGAA
This 235-nucleotide ribosomal RNA is filed under the name uncultured bacterium. RNAcentral describes it as "partial 16S ribosomal RNA". It matches the Rfam family "Bacterial small subunit ribosomal RNA", at positions 524 to 757 of the family's 1533-position model. The record is from RNAcentral.